UAUAUGCUCAAAGAUAGUAAAGGAAGCUGAAACAAAUCUACAGCUAUAUGCCAAUAUACUAUUACAAUCUGACAAUAACUAUCUGUAGAAAAUGCAAUCUCUGACCCAAUCUCUUUCGGGACUGUGAACACACCCGUCCCGCUUGUCGAAGCUACACUAACUGUUACCACGCUAGGUCGUCAGUAGAGAGCAAGUCCAAACAGGACAAACCGACAUCAAUGCAAAAGCACUAACCCCGACUGCAGAGCGGUACUCGCGGGCACUACCCAACCGAGUAUGAAUGUAUGUCUCUGCCGAGCUCAAUCAGGCUCUCACGGGCUGUAAUCAAAGUAGAAAGGUCUCACUGGUCGAACAACCACAAUCUACGUGCUCUCAGCACAAUCUGAUGCAAAAACUGCAAAUUGGGUCCAUCGUCAACCACAACGGCACCCGACAGUUCGGAACAGUUUGUACACUAUUGUAAAAAUACACUUGACAUCUCAGCACGAGCGUAAAUACAUUCUACACUAUUCUGGGUAUCCACCGCCUACAAACUGCAGCGAUACAAACAAACUAC
Molecule: long non-coding RNA, 556 nt
Filed under: Ananas comosus (pineapple)
Lineage: Eukaryota; Viridiplantae; Streptophyta; Magnoliopsida; Poales; Bromeliaceae
Description: long non-coding RNA (ACOM_LNC041259)
Source: RNAcentral